AUACUUCAGCAGCAUGUGUACCCAGAUUAAAAAAAUACAGGAAGAUUAGCAUGGCACCUGUGCAAAGAUGACAUGCAAAUUCUUGUAUGCUUCUCAUUUUAC
This is a small nuclear RNA of Vulpes vulpes (red fox), 102 nucleotides long. The record is from Ensembl. NCBI's taxonomy places the organism in Eukaryota, Metazoa, Chordata, Mammalia, Carnivora, Canidae.